CCUACGGGAGGCAGCAGUGGGGAAUAUUGCACAAUGGGCGAAAGCCUGAUGCAGCAACGCCGCGUGAGUGAUGAAGGCCUUCGGGUUGUAAAGCUCUGUCUUUGGGGACGAUAAUGACGGUACCCAAGGAGGAAGCCACGGCUAACUACGUGCCAGCAGCCGCGGUAAUACGUAGGUGGCGAGCGUUGUCCGGAUUUACUGGGCG
Molecule: ribosomal RNA, 205 nt
Filed under: uncultured bacterium
Lineage: Bacteria
Description: partial 16S ribosomal RNA
Rfam family: Bacterial small subunit ribosomal RNA
Source: RNAcentral